RNAcentral lists this microRNA (22 nucleotides) under Drosophila melanogaster (fruit fly). RNAcentral's name for it is "dme-miR-991-3p". Its record names the gene dme-miR-991-3p. Lineage: Eukaryota; Metazoa; Arthropoda; Insecta; Diptera; Drosophilidae. The record is from miRBase by way of RNAcentral.
UUAAAGUUGUAGUUUGGAAAGU